CUUCUUGCUGCGGCAGAACAUAGAUCAAAAUUGGAACGAUAAAAAGUAGAUUAGCAUGGCCCUGCGCACCGAAGGCACGCAAAAUCGUGCACAGUUCCACAAUUCU
Molecule: small nuclear RNA, 106 nt
Organism: Anastrepha ludens (Mexican fruit fly)
Lineage: Eukaryota; Metazoa; Arthropoda; Insecta; Diptera; Tephritidae
Source: RefSeq, a predicted model, not a curated record